CAGUCGCCGCGGUAAUACGGAGGGGGCUAGCGUUGUUCGGAAUUACUGGGCGUAAAGCGCACGUAGGCUGCUUUGUAAGUCAGAGGUGAAAGCCCGGGGCUCAACCCCGGAUGUGCCUUUGAGACUGCAGGGCUAGAACGUCGGAGAGGUGAGUGGAAUUCCGAGUGUAGGGGUGAGAUUCGUAGAUAUUCGGGAGAACACCAGUGGCGAAGGCGGCUCACUGGACGACUGUUGACGCUGAGGUGCGAAAGCGUGGGGAGCAAACAGGAUUAGAUACCCCGGUAGUCCCUGUCUCUUAUAC
Molecule: ribosomal RNA, 301 nt
Filed under: uncultured bacterium
Lineage: Bacteria
Description: partial 16S ribosomal RNA
Rfam family: Bacterial small subunit ribosomal RNA
Source: RNAcentral